CGAAAUCGGUAGACGCUACGGACUUAAAAUCCGUCGACUUUUAAAAUCGUGAGGGUUCAAGUCCCUCUAUCCCC
This 74-nucleotide transfer RNA is filed under the name Montiopsis cumingii. RNAcentral's name for it is "partial tRNA-Leu". It matches the Rfam family "tRNA", at positions 11 to 70 of the family's 71-position model. From Rfam's summary of the family: Transfer RNA (tRNA) molecules are approximately 80 nucleotides in length. The record is from RNAcentral. Lineage: Eukaryota; Viridiplantae; Streptophyta; Magnoliopsida; Caryophyllales; Montiaceae.